This 485-nucleotide ribosomal RNA is filed under the name uncultured bacterium. Its description in RNAcentral is "bacterial SSU rRNA". It matches the Rfam family "Bacterial small subunit ribosomal RNA", at positions 29 to 501 of the family's 1533-position model. The record is from RNAcentral.
AACGAACGCUGGCGGCACGCCUCAUACAUGCAAGUCGAGCGCGAAACCACCUUCGGGUGAUGUAGAGCGGCGAACGGGUGAGUAACAGGUGGGUAAUCUGCCCUUUGGCGGGGGACGAACAGCUGGAAACGGCUGCUAAUACCGCAUGUGAUUGUGGACUUAUGGUCUGCAAGGAAAGGCGCCUCAAAGCGCCACCAAAGGAUGAGCCCGCCCCCCACUUAGCUAGUUGGUGAGAUAACAGCUCACCAAGGCAUCGAUGGGUAGCCGAGCUGAGAGGUUGAUCGGCCACACUGGAACUGAGACACGGUCCAGACACCUACGGGUGGCAGCAGUAGGGAAUAUUGCGCAAUGGGCGAAAGCCUGACGCAGCGAUGCCGCGUGAGUGACGAAGGUCUUAGGAUUGUAAAGCUCUUUUCUGAGGGAAGAAUAGGUCUGGUAGGAAAUGACUGGAUUCUGACGGUACCUCAGGAAUAGGAACGGCUAAC